GACGAACGCUGGCGGCGUGCUUAACACAUGCAAGUCGAACGGAAAGGCCCUGCUUUUGUGGGGUGCUCGAGUGGCGAACGGGUGAGUAACACGUGAGUAACCUGCCCUUGACUUUGGGAUAACUUCAGGAAACUGGGGCUAAUACCGGAUAGGAGCUCCUGCUGCAUGGUGGGGGUUGGAAAGUUUCGGCGGUUGGGGAUGGACUCGCGGCUUAUCAGCUUGUUGGUGGGGUAGUGGCUUACCAAGGCUUUGACGGGUAGCCGGCCUGAGAGGGUGACCGGCCACAUUGGGACUGAGAUACGGCCCAGACUCCUACGGGAGGCAGCAGUGGGGAAUAUUGCACAAUGGGCGGAAGCCUGAUGCAGCAACGCCGCGUGCGGGAUGACGGCCUUCGGGUUGUAAACCGCUUUCGCCUGUGACGAAGCGUGAGUGACGGUAAUGGGUAAAGAAGCACCGGCUAACUACGUGCCAGCAGCCGCGGUGAUACGUAGGGUGCGAGCGUUGUCCGGAUUUAUUGGGCGUAAAGGGCUCGUAGGUGGUUGAUCGCGUCGGAAGUGUAAUCUUGGGGCUUAACCCUGAGCGUGCGUUCGAUACGGGUUGACUUGAGGAAGGUAGGGGAGAAUGGAAUUCUGGUGGAGCGGUGGAAUGCGCAGAUAUCAGGAGGAACACCAGUGGCGAAGGCGGUUCUCUGGGCCUUUCCUGACGCUGAGGAGCGAAAGCGUGGGGAGCGAACAGGCUUAGAUACCCUGGUAGUCCACGCUGUAAACGGUGGGUACUAGGUGUGGGGUCCAUUCCACGGGUUCCGUGCCGUAGCUAACGCUUUAAGUACCCCGCCUGGGGAGUACGGCCGCAAGGCUAAAACUCAAAGGAAUUGACGGGGCCCCGCACAAGCGGCGGAGCAUGCGGAUUAAUUCGAUGCAACGCGUAGAACCUUACCUGGGUUUGACAUGGAUCGGGAGUGCUCAGAGAUGGGUGUGCCUCUUUUGGGGUCGGUUCACAGGUGGUGCAUGCCUGUCGUCAGCUCGUGUCGUGAGAUGUUGGGUUAAGUCCCGCAACGAGCGCAACCCUUGUUCACUGUUGCCAGCACGUUAUGGUGGGGACUCAGUGGAGACCGCCGGGGUCGACUCGGAGGAAGGUGGGGAUGACGUCAAGUCAUCAUGCCCCUUAUGUCCAGGGCUUCACGCAUGCUACAAUGGCUGGUACAGAGAGUGGCGAGCCUGUGAGGGUGAGCGAAUCUCGGAAAGCCGGUCUCAGUUCGGAUUGGGGUCUGCAACUCGACCUCAUGAAGUCGGAGUCGCUAGUAAUCGCAGAUCAGCAACGCUGCGGUGAAUACGUUCCCGGGGCU
RNAcentral lists this ribosomal RNA (1345 nucleotides) under uncultured bacterium. Its description in RNAcentral is "partial 16S ribosomal RNA". It matches the Rfam family "Bacterial small subunit ribosomal RNA", at positions 28 to 1381 of the family's 1533-position model. The record is from RNAcentral.